UACCUUGUUACGACUUAAUACAAUAAUCGGUUUCACCUUAGGCCCACUAAUGUGGGAUUUCGGGUGCCCCCGACUUUCGUGGCUUGACGGGCGGUGUGUACAAGACCCGGGAACGUAUUCACCGUAGUGUGCUGACCUACAGUUACUAGCGAUUCCGGCUUCAUGCAGGCGGGUUUCAGCCUACAAUCCGAACUGGGACCGGCUUUGAUGGGGUUAGCUCCGUCUCGCGACUUGGCUGCCCUUUGUACCGGCCAUUGUAGCGCGUUUGUAGCCCAAGGCAUAAGGGAAAUACUGACCUGACGUCAUCCCCUCCUUCCUCCCUGUUACCAGGGCAGUCUGAUUAGAAAAAUUCAACUAAUCACAAGGGUUGCGCUCGUUGCGGGACUUAACCCAACAUCUCACGACACGAGCUGACGACGGCCAUGCAUCACCUGUCACUGCGUUCCAAAGGCACAAACACCUUUCAGUGUUCUUCGCAGGAUGUCAAGCCUUGGUAAGGUUCUUGGCUUAGCCUCCAAUUAAACAACACGCUCCACCGCUUGUGCGGGUCCCCGUCAAUUCCUUUGAGUUUUAGUCUUGCGACCGUACUCCCCAGGCGGGAUGCUUUAACGCGUUAGCUUCGCUUCUGAGAGGGUCGAUACUCCCAAAUAGCUAGCAUCCAUCGUUUACAGCGUGGACUACCCGGGGUAUCUAAUCCCGUUCGCUCCCCACGCUUUCGAGCCUCAGCCGUCAGAAAAUGGAACCAGUAAGCCCUGCCUUCGCAAUUGGGUGUUCCCUCCCGAAUAUCUCCGGAAUUA
Molecule: ribosomal RNA, 797 nt
Filed under: uncultured bacterium
Lineage: Bacteria
Description: partial 16S ribosomal RNA
Source: RNAcentral